CCGUGCUAAGCGGGGAGGUAGCGGUGCCCUGUACUCGCAAUCCGCUCUAGCGAGGCCGAAUCCCUUCUCGAGGCUUGAGCCAUGCCCAAUGUGUGCGG
RNAcentral lists this signal recognition particle RNA (98 nucleotides) under Bacillus safensis. RNAcentral describes it as "signal recognition particle sRNA large type". It matches the Rfam family "Bacterial large signal recognition particle RNA", at positions 1 to 97 of the family's 256-position model. Rfam says of the family: The signal recognition particle (SRP) is a universally conserved ribonucleoprotein involved in the co-translational targeting of proteins to membranes. Lineage: Bacteria; Bacillati; Bacillota; Bacilli; Caryophanales; Bacillaceae. The record is from RNAcentral.